RNAcentral lists this long non-coding RNA (703 nucleotides) under Phaseolus vulgaris (common bean). Its description in RNAcentral is "long non-coding RNA (PVUL_LNC004724)". The record is from RNAcentral. Lineage: Eukaryota; Viridiplantae; Streptophyta; Magnoliopsida; Fabales; Fabaceae.
AGUGGGGUGUGGUGUGUGAAAGGAUUUGGAUGGUGAUCCACUCAAGUGUUGGUUUUGUAUUCCAAUUUUCAAUGCGUGUGUAAAAUAUGAUGCAACUUAUCUUGUUGAAAACUUGGAAGCAAAGCAUUGUUAGAAAAAAUGUGGCAAGCGAACGUGGAAGAUCAGCGUUUGACUUGCUUCAUAAUACAUCAGAUUCAGCCAUUUGUGCAAUGCAGAAAAACUUAGAUCCUGCAAUUUUACAUGUCAAGUGUAAGUUACAAAACUCACUAUAUGUAGCUGCAAAAAAUGGAGAGAAUACGAACCUGUAGCAGUCUAAUGAAAAAGACAUGGAGUAUAAUCAACACGAAAUUAUUACCUUCAAAACUGUUUCUCUUUUGACAUUUAUAUAAUUGCGAAAGAAACUAAAGGAGACAGUGUUAGAGAGGAAGAUUCUUAAUCUCAUAUAUUCUGUUAAAUGUAAAUGAGAUGUGUUAGUGUGAUUCAUUGUAAUUAAUUAUUGCAAGAUGUUGUUCAAAUAUAUGUUCUUCAUAUAUUUUGAACUUUUGUUAAGAAAAAACCAAUGUAUGGUGGUGUUGAGUUGAAUUCACUGGCUUCAAAUUCUGAAAAUCUGCAGAGAAUUGAAGAUCCAUAAGAAGCAAGAAGGCACUGCUUAAGUAAUAUGUAAUUAGCUGCGAACAAGAAACAUCCAUGUUAGAAGACAAUU